RNAcentral lists this ribosomal RNA (789 nucleotides) under uncultured Actinomycetes bacterium. RNAcentral describes it as "bacterial SSU rRNA". It matches the Rfam family "Bacterial small subunit ribosomal RNA", at positions 64 to 866 of the family's 1533-position model. Lineage: Bacteria; Bacillati; Actinomycetota; Actinomycetes. The record is from RNAcentral.
GAGCGAUGAAGUUUCUUCGGGAAUGGAUUAGCGGCGAACGGGUGAGGAACACGUGAAGAAUCUGCCCUCCACUUUGGGAUAACACCGGGAAACCGGUGCUAAUACCGAAUAUUGAAACAUAAGUGGCAUCACUGAGUUUUGAAAGAAUUUCGGUGGAGGAUGACUUCGCGGCCUAUCAGCUAGUUGGUGAGGUAAUGGCUCACCAAGGCAACGACGGGUAGCCGGCCUGAGAGGGCGACCGGCCACACUGGGACUGAGACACGGCCCAGACUCCUACGGGAGGCAGCAGUGGGGAAUAUUGGGCAAUGGAGGAAACUCUGACCCAGCGACGCCGCGUGCGGGACGAAGGCCUUCGGGUUGUAAACCGCUUUCAGUAGGGAAGAAGCGAAAGUGACGGUACCUACAAAAGAAGCACCGGCUAACUAUGUGCCAGCAGCCGCGGUAAUACAUAGGGUGCAAGCGUUGUCCGGAAUUAUUGGGCGUAAAGAGCUCGUAGGUCGUUUGUUACGUCGGAUGUGAAAACCUGAGGCUCAACCUCAGGCCUGCAUUCGAUACGGGCAAACUAGAGUUUGGUAGGGGAGACUGGAAUUCCUGGUGUAGCGGUGGAAUGCGCAGAUAUCAGGAGGAACACCAAUGGCGAAGGCAGGUCUCUGGGCCAAUACUGACACUGAGGAGCGAAAGUCUGGGGAGCGAACAGGAUUAGAUACCCUGGUAGUCCAGACCGUAAACGGUGGGCACUAGUUGUGGGAACCUUCCACGGUUUCUGCGACGCAGCUAACGCAUUAAGUG